Triticum dicoccoides is the source of this 1000-nucleotide long non-coding RNA. RefSeq lists it as uncharacterized. The record is from RefSeq and is a predicted model, not a curated record. NCBI's taxonomy places the organism in Eukaryota, Viridiplantae, Streptophyta, Magnoliopsida, Poales, Poaceae. The transcript is spliced from 3 exons.
AUCGCCUCGUCUCGCGCAUCCUCGCCGCCACGCUCCGCCUUGUCAGGAUCGAACUAUGCCACCUCCCCGGUGACACCGUCCAAUCGCUUCAUUUUCCCCAGCUCAAGCACCUCGCACUCGUCAAGGCCGUCAUCUCGGAGGGCGCACUGGGCAGCCUCAUUGCCGGGUGCCCCGCCCUGGAGUGCUUGCUGCUUGGGUACAUCUCCGGACUCCGUCGCGCCUGGAUCAGCUCCCCUCGGAUCAGAAGCAUCUAGUUGGUUGGAACUCCAUGGGCAUGCCCAACUUGGAUGAAGUCGUAAUCGAGAAUACCCCUUGUCUUGAAAGGCUGCUCCAUUUCAAUCUACGCGAUGACCUGCGAGUAUCGGUGAUCGACGCGCCUAAUCUGGAGACCUUCUGCAUCGUUCAGAACGAUCGUUUCAGCUUCGACAGGAUUGUCGAGCAUGUAGGUGCUGAUAGCCCGACGACGACGUCAAGAUCUUGGCUUUUAGAGUGCGCUUUUUUAGUUUGGAUAUGAUUGUCGACUUGACGAGACUCUUUCCCUGCCUGGAGAAGCUGUACAUACAGAAUGAGUAUAAUGCUCUUUUCCGGUCAAUGUCAAGGAAGAAAGGGCCGAAGAAUUACUGGCGUCGCAAACAUCGGAACCUUUAUAUCACAUUGCCUUGAUACUCAUCUGAAGACAAUAGUACUGGAAUCCUAUCGGGGGGUUCUGCCGGAAGUUAACUUCGCCGCAUUCUUCGUACUGAACGCGAGAGUGCUAGAGUUUCAGGUGAAAACCAUCGACGAGGAGUUCAUCGCGAAACAGCGGAGGUUGCUUCAGGUAGAGAACAGGGCAUCAAGGGGUGCUGAAUUUCACUUCACGGACGAUAGAUGUCUUCGGGAUAUUUGGGAUAUCCGCCACGCUCGUGAUUUGGAUGUGCGUUGAGCCGUCGAUGCCGCGACUGGAUUCAGUGUGCUGAAGAGGUGUCCAUGUCUUUCUCAUUUUGUGUUAUCGUGGACCUUU